Molecule: ribosomal RNA, 460 nt
Filed under: uncultured bacterium
Lineage: Bacteria
Description: partial 16S ribosomal RNA
Rfam family: Bacterial small subunit ribosomal RNA
Source: RNAcentral
CCUACGGGUGGCAGCAGUGAGGAAUAUUGGUCAAUGGACGCAAGUCUGAACCAGCCAUGCCGCGUGCAGGAAGACGGCCCUAUGAGUUGUAAACUGCUUUUGUACGAGGGUAAACGCAGAUACGCGUAUCUGUCUGCAAGUAUCGUAUGAAUAAGGAUCGGCUAACUCCGUGCCAGCAGCCGCGGUAAUACGGAGGAUUCAAGCGUUAUCCGGAUUUAUUGGGUUUAAAGGGUGCGUAGGCGGUCGGAUAAGUUAGAGGUGAAAUCCCGAGGCUCAACUUCGGAAUUGCAUUUGAUACUGUUCGGCUAGAGAGUAGUUGAGGUAGGCGGAAUGUAUGGUGUAGCGGUGAAAUGCUUAGAGAUCAUACAGAACACCGAUUGCGAAGGCAGCUUACCAAGCUACUUCUGACGUUGAGGCACGAAAGCGUGGGGAGCAAACAGGAUUAGAUACCCCUGUAGUC